Molecule: non-coding RNA, 1076 nt
Organism: Chrysemys picta bellii (western painted turtle)
Lineage: Eukaryota; Metazoa; Chordata; Testudines; Emydidae
Source: RefSeq, a predicted model, not a curated record
UGUGCAGGCAGAGCUCCUAUCCAGCAGAAGAAAUGCUGACAUCUAUGCAAAGAUCGCUCAUGGAAUGGGGGAGAAGGGCUACACGAGGGACACACAGCACUGCCAUGUGAAAAUAAAAAAACUUCGCCAAGCAUACGAGAAGGCAAGGGAGGUGAACAGUCAUUCUGGUGCUGAACCCCACGUAUGCGGGCUCUACAACGAGCUGCAUGCGAUUCUCAGGGGUGACCCUACCAGCAUCCUCACAAGUAAGUGGACACCUCACAGAUGUGAGUCUAGGGACAACAAGGAGGACGAUUUGGUGGAUGAGGAAGAGGAGGAGGAGAAUGGGAAACAGGCAAGCGGUGGAUCCAUUCUCCCCGAGAACCAGGAAAGAUUUUUAACCCUGGAGCCCUGUGGGUCGUAGGACAUCACGGUGGCUGACCGUGAUGCCAGGAAAGGCACCUCUGGGAAAAAAUAAAAGAGCUGGAAAUGUGUCCUUUGGCGUGUCAUCAACACCUGAAAGCAGACUUUCACUGAUUAGAAGGAGGAGAAAGAAAGAGAACGCAGGAGGACAUGUUCACCGAGAUAGCGAACGCUUCCGGGACAGCUGAAACAGAGCGGAGAGCGUGGAGGAUUUCACUGUCCAAAAACUUAGACGUGGACAACGAAGAGCAGGAAAGCUUCCAGUGAGCAAGAGCGUGCAGAACAGGAUGAGAUGCUUUGGAUUAUGAAGUACCAAGCAGACAUGUUGAGGUGUCUGGUUGAACUGCAGGAACAGAAGCAGAAGGGUAGAGUCCCUCUGCAGACCCUGGUGGACAGCCAGCCAUCAUCGCCUGGUGCAGAAUCACCCUCCACCAAGUGUUCCAUGAGGCCUGGGCAAAAAGUCCAUUAUCCCUUUCACUUACUUCGGGGAGGGUACAAGGAACAGAAGGCGCCCAUUCACAGAUCUUUGAUGGUCUGGAAUGCGGUGUUAUGUUACACAGCUGAAAAUGUUUUUCCAGUUCCAACUUUAAAGCCCCUUUUCCCCAAGGUUACAUUUUUUUUCUAUUCUCCCUCUUUACUUAUGUUUGUUAAAUAAAGUAAAUGGAUUUGAGAAA